This 5046-nucleotide long non-coding RNA is filed under the name Solanum tuberosum (potato). RNAcentral's name for it is "long non-coding RNA (STUB_LNC002143)". Lineage: Eukaryota; Viridiplantae; Streptophyta; Magnoliopsida; Solanales; Solanaceae. The record is from RNAcentral.
UAUGAUACUGUGAUGUCUGCCAUAACGCCUAACCAGGGAAUUUCUUUAUUCUUUUUUAUCUUUUCCGUAGUCUUUUCAGCACUGUUUCCUUUCAUUACAAUGAAGUUGAGAAACUAUUGCAAGAAACCUAGAUUAUUGUCAUGAUUUAUAAACUGGAGAACUACUUGAACAGCAUCUUCCUGUAUUUUGUUCUUUUGAGGUUCAAUCAGGACGUGUUGAGAUUCUAAAUGAAUAACUACUUAUGAGAUUUAUUACAAUCACUUUUACUUGAUCGAGUUUAAAUAGUCUUAUAUGAAAAUAGGUUGACGUGUUGUUUUCUUGAAUGCUUCCAUAGUGUUUUACUAUUUAACAAACUCUCAAAUGAAGACCAAGAACAUUAUUCUAUAUUAUCAUUGACUUUGAAUUUGCUAAACAACUUGAAUAUUAGGAUUACCUCAAUUCAAGUGUUGGCUGCAGUUGUUGAUUGUUUCUUAGAGACUUGUCCAAAGGUGUAGAGUAGUGAUCAAUGAAGUGGGGAAAGUCAUGGGAGACCAAAACUCUAAGCAGAAGAAUGCUAGAAUAGAAACUUAUCAGUUCAUUGAUAUAGCAUCUUUUCGUUAUGAAUUUGUGCUAGCAUUGCAUGAUACUCUUUGUAGUAAUUAUGUAAUGCGAUGCGUUUGGAUCAGGUUUCUGACAUUGGAGUCGUUGUUAGUAGUCUGUAGUGCCUGUUUAAUUUAGUCGUUGAGAGUGAUUCUGCUUGUUCUUUUACUAAAUGCAUGUCACUACAGCAGCCAUUACAUCUGUAUUCUGUAACAAACAAUACUAUUGUACUAUCUAUAUGCCUUGGCUGGAUUCAAAGAUCACACUUUUAGAAAUGGCACCAAUGAACCAUGUUCUAUACUUAAUUUGGUUACAAGAUGCAAAGAGUUUGGGUCCCUAAUUCAUUUUGAUAUGAUAAUAUAUGCAUGGUAGAAAUAACAUUGUUAAAUGUAGUGAUUUGUGGAUCUGUUAUAAAGAAGAGUUGCUUUUUCAGCUUCUUGUUGUUUUUAGGAAGUAGAAAUUUGGGUCUCUUCAAGAAUGUGAAUUGCCUUGUGAACGUGUCAUGUGUUGCAGUUCAUUUAGUAUAACUAAAGAUCAAACAUGUUCCCUUCUCCCUGCCUAAUUCUCUCUCCCCCCCUUAAAACUUUUCUUGGGGGCACGGACGUGAUACGAGUUGAAACCAAAAGGUUAAUGUGGAAGUCAUGUAAGAUUGUUUUCAAGUGUCUAGAAAAAGGUGUCUCUUGGAAAAAGUUUUGUUUUUUCUUGGAGAACCUUUCUGGGCAGUACAAUAGGUAUUGCCUGUAGGUUUGUUGGUUCUGUUUUGCUGUAAUGUGUAAUUUGUUCAACGAUAAUACUGCAAGUUAGUUUUGCUUUCCUUUGAUUGUUAGACAGAUAAUGUCAUUACUUUGCCGUAGACACAUCACAAGUACUUUUGUUCUGUCUAGCUGUCCUAUCUUAUGACUUGCCUUUGAGUAAAGAGUAGCCUGGAAUUGAUCUGGUCAAUGGUUGGCAGGUCGGUUCCCUGCCUGAGUGGAUCAUUGGAGUGGCGGAUUGCAAGUGUUUAGCGAGAUGCGACCUUUAAAUGAAAGAGUAUAUUUCCCCAGGCAAGAAAAAUUUUGAGCAUGACUAUGCCAUUGGGACAGACUACUAGGCAGAAUUCUACCAUUGAUGACUGACUUUAUGUAUGGUUUACACAGAAGCAGAAUCGGACUAAAAGAGUGAAAGCUCCUUUUGCUUUUCAAAACAAAUAUUGAAUUGUGCAUAUUCUCAAUUGAUGCUGGAUGUGUUGAGAUUCUAGGGCCCGUUUGGCCAUGCGAUAUGGUAUCAUGAUAUGAUAUCAUAAUAUGGAAUUAUGAGAUGAAAUUGAAGUUUUGUUUGGACAUGCGAUAUGGAAUAUUGAUGUUGUAUAUUUUCUCAUUAACAUGAGAAUCUCAUAAGUUGUAAAAUUAUUAAAAUAGCCCUAAUUAUUUAUCCAAUCUUACCAAAUAAACAAAAAUUUAUAAAAUCGCAUAAUAUAUUAGUAUUACAUUGUUAUUUGUUCUCCACUUAAGUAACUGUUUCAUCUAACUUUAAUUCAAUAAAAAAUUGAACAUAAAUUGUAGUGUACUAGUCUUUAAUAUUACUCAACAAUCGGUUGGUGUGAGUUAAAGUGACUAUAUGUUAGUGAGAAUAAUAAAUUUUAUGUCGGUGAGAAUAAUAAAUUUUAAAAAGUAACGAUGUCAUUCUAAAUUUUGUUUACAUAUAAAAUAAAUGGUUAGUAGAUAUAAAUGUGGGGUUGUUUUAACAAAAUAUAAACUUGUGGAUCAAUUUUUGUAUUAAAAAUAUCUCAAUUUUUGGAGAAUAUGGAAUCACAUAUCAUGAUAUGGAAUCAUGAGAUGGAAUCAGCAUAAAAUCGCAUGUUCCAUCCCAUGAUACCAUAUCGUGAUAUGGUAUCGCAUGGCCAAAUGCCUACUAAAUCAAAAACAGUUUAUGAGAUUUAUUACAAUCACUUUUACUUUUAUCGCUUUAAAAUGGUCUUAUAUGAAAGUAGGUUGACAUGUUGUUUUCUUGACGCUACCAUAGUAUUUUACUAUUAAACAAACUCUCAAAUGAAGUCCAACCUGUGUCAAGUCUGAAUUCAGGUACUGAGCAUUACAUGUGUAUUCUGUAACAAACAAUAAUAUAAUAGUGCAGUGUCUAUAUGCCUUGGCUGAAUACAAAGAUCACACUGUUAGAAAUGGCACCAAUGAACCAUGUUCUAACUUCUAUACAUAAUUUGGUUACAAUAUACAAAGAGUUUGGGUCCCUAAUUCAUUUUGAUAUGGUAAUAUAAAUAACAUUAUAAAAUGAUUUGUGCAUCUGUUACAGAGAAGGGUAGCUUUUUCAGCCUCGUGUUGUUUUCAGGAAGUAGAAAUUUGGGUUUCUUGAUGAGUGUGAAUUGCCUUGUGAAUGUGUGAUGUGUGAUGUGUUGCAGUUCAUUUAGGAUAAGCUUGUUUUCAAGUGUGUAGAUGUUUCUUGGACUUCUUUUUUGUUUUUGAUUGUUAGUUUCUUGGAGAGCCUUUCUGGAAGCAUAAAUUGCCCUUUGGUUUGUUGGUUCUGUUUUGAUGUAAUGUGUAAUUUGUUCAAUGUUAAUACUGCAAGUUAGUCUUGCUUUCCUGUGAUAGUUGGACAGUAUUACUGUACAUGAUAAAGGCCUUUGUUAACGACUCGCAAAUACUUCUGUUCUGUCUUCAUGGCUUUCCUUUGAGUAGAGAGAAGCCUGAAUUGAUCUAGUCAAUGGUUGGGUUGAUUCCCUGUAAUUGGAGCAGCUGAUCGCAAGUGUUUACAGUGAUGCGACCCCUAGCACUUUGUUUGCAUGGUUGUUACGUUGUUUCAUAAUGUAUUGUAUUAUAUCAUAUUGUUUGUAUCGUUCUCAGGGUACGAAGUAGAGUUACUGAAAGGUAAGAGGAAAAUUUGAACUACGAUGCCGUUGGGUAGGGCCGACUCAACAAGAUCGGGGGCAUAAAGCCAAACCUUAAAGACAAGCCCUAAUAUUUUGUUUCUUUAAUCUCUUUAAUAACUUUAUUCUUACCUUCACUUGCCAAUAAGUUAAAUAAUUUAUUUGUAUAUUAUGUCCGAGGUAAUGAAUAUGAAUUUCGUCAUGCUUAUUCUUCAAAUAUGUUCUUGCAUAGCUGGAUCAAAUUAAUUAAUCAUUUCAAUUAGGCUUUAAAAAUUACCGUUACUUUCUUGAUAGAUCUUUCCAUUUGUUCUCCUAAAUGCUAAAUUAUUUUUCCAUAGAGUUUUGAUCACGUCACCAAUUCUUGACAAUACAUUUUUCCACUGCACUUUAUCUCUAUCAAUUUGUUCCUGCACAACUUAUCAAUUGUUUUUUAAUGCAAACUCAUUUCUAAAUCAAUACAUGAGCUCAUAUUAUUAAUAAUGUGUUCAUUCUUUACUUCAUGGACUUUGAGCUUAACACGAAGAUUUCUCACUCAUUAUUACCUUCACUAGCUAGUUACUAUUACAAAUAAUAGAAGUUGUGCUAAAUAAUUUACAACAAAAACAAAAAAUUUUUAUCCAAAUCUUUAGAGUAGAUUAAUCAUUUUCUUUCAUGCUUUUCUCCGUUUACCAAUUUUUGAAUAUAGUGUGUUGUAGACUUAUGCGGUACGUAUUUAUCUUGUGGAAAAUUUAUAUAAGUCAUUCUAAAUUGUCCCUUUUCUAUUACUAGAUCUCUCAAUUUUGUAUCUACAUUAUUCCAUUGACUUGGAUCAUAUAUAUUUUUAGGGAUGCAACUAUUUAAAUUAUUUAGGAGUUCUUGAUAUCGGGAACAAUGUCAUACUUUCACCAACUUCUUCUAGAUUUUAUUCUUGUAUAUUAUUAUUAUCUAACUCAAUUCUAUUGAUGACUUGUUCAUUUGAAGAUCAUCCUCCAAUAUUUUUUGAUUCGAAAUAUUUAUUAUUUGUUAAAAAUCUAUCAAAGGCUCUUUUUUAAGAUUUAUUUAAUUCUUCAAGUUUUCUCUCUUUCUGCAAAAUCAGAAUCAUGUUUUCUAGUUGACAUAUUAAAAUUGAAUAAAUUUUAAUAACAAUUAAAACAAUUUACAUAUACUUAAGAAUAUCAACAAUAACAAUUUUUCAAGAAAUACUAUAAAACCUCUUACACGUUUUCUUUCUUCAAAAAGUUAAUAUAAUUUUUUUAAUAUUAUGUAUAAGUAUUUUUUUUAAAAAAAUAGGAGCUUCAAAGAAUAUUGAACUCAAGCGAUAUUUUUAGUGACCUAAUGGUUAAGACGGCCCUGCCGUUGGGACAGGCAGAAUUCUAGUGCGCCUUUGAAGAAGUCUAAAGUUACUGGGGACUUCGUUUCUUCGUUAUCAUCAUUAUCAUAGUCUCUUUAGGACUGUUUCCCGUCAUUUCAGUGAUGUUGAUGAACUAUUGCAAGAAACCUAGAAUCUUGUCAUGAUUUAUAAACUAGACAGCUACUUGAACAGCAUCUUCCUGUAUUUUCUUCUUCUUUUGAGGUUCAAUCAGCAAGUGUUGAGAUUCUAAAUAAAAAAUUACUUCUGAGAUUUAUUACCA